GCUACAUGUUUUUUAUUGUCCGUUUCCUUCACUGACUGAUUUCUCUCUGCUUCAAGGUUGGUGUGUGCAGGCGCAAACCACCAGAGCUCUCGAGAAGUGCUUGUUGUUGCUGCCCGAAUCGCGUGGAUUCGAGCUUUGCUUCUGAUGGUAUUUGUUGAUUGUGCAGGUCUUCCGCGGAAGAAACACUCUCGAUGCUUCUACAUGGAUAUGCUGCGUUUGGUUCAGCGUAUACGUUGGGGUUACAUGCGUCAGCGAAGAAGAUGAUAUGUCCAGUGCUCUGACCCUGUCCCAAUAGGCGUGCCAUACUCUCCUCACUGGUUCUACCUGGGGGUGGUUUUUUGGUAAAAGAUAUACACCUCCCACCCACAAAGGAGCUCAGCAGCUGAGCUAACAUCAAUCACUAAAUGGGAAUGAAUAGAUGACUGUUAGAUGAUUCCAAUCAAUAAUUGCUUCUGUACUGCCCAACCCCAUCAGAAUACAAACAGCAGAUGCAGGACAUCACUACCAUCUAUGUUGGCCAUCCCACCCGCCUGGGGUUCCUGGUUGGUUUAUUUGUCGAAACCUUAUCAGAAACCUGUAUGCAGAGGACACUCCACACUCUACCAUUGGCAGAAUUCCUAAUGGUGAUUCUUUGGAUGACAAAGAAAAGUCGCAGAUUUUGCCGUCACUCGGUGGCUCUACCUUCUUGUCCCGAAGCUUGUGCUGGCAUGGAGGCGCCAGAAAUAUCUACGAUAUGCUCCACAAAGGGUUGUCGGCACGCACGUCCAUGCUAACAGGACCUUCUGCGUAUAAAAGGCGUUGCUUUCUACCCCCCUUUCCAACUUUCCGUGUUUCCCCCAAAUAUGUAAUAUUAUCUUCAGAACAGCAGCCAUCAUACAUAUAUCCUGAGUGGAUAAGGACGAAGAGUAAGAUAAGUCGGAGAAGUCAACGAGUGAACCAAGCAAACAGUUAGUGGGCUAAUCCUGCUCAGUUGGAGACAAGCAUAGGCGUGAAAGAGACGCAUUCAAUGGACUGUCCGAUACCCCACCCGAUUGUUUUCAAGGGUAAAUUCUCCAAAUGAGAAUCUCGCACAGUAUCAUUAUUUUCAAAAUUUUCUAAAAAUUCUUUUAAUAAAAAAUAUUUUUACCCUCC
Long non-coding RNA from Musa acuminata AAA Group (dessert banana), 1131 nucleotides. RefSeq lists it as uncharacterized. NCBI's taxonomy places the organism in Eukaryota, Viridiplantae, Streptophyta, Magnoliopsida, Zingiberales, Musaceae. The record is from RefSeq and is a predicted model, not a curated record. The transcript has 3 exons.